RNAcentral lists this ribosomal RNA (440 nucleotides) under uncultured bacterium. RNAcentral describes it as "partial 16S ribosomal RNA". It matches the Rfam family "Bacterial small subunit ribosomal RNA", at positions 338 to 795 of the family's 1533-position model. The record is from RNAcentral.
CCUACGGGGGACAGCAGUGGGGGAUAUUGCACAAUGGGGGGAACCCUGAUGCAGCGACGCCGCGUGGGUGAAGAAGCGCCUCGGCGCGUAAAGCCCUGUCAGCAGGGAAGAAAAUGACGGUACCUGAAGAAGAAGCCCCGGCUAACUACGUGCCAGCAGCCCCGGUAAUACGUAGGGGGCAAGCGUUAUCCGGAUUUACGGGGUGUAAAGGGGGCGCAGACGGCGAUGCAAGCCAGGAGUGAAAGCCGGGGGCCCAACCCCGGGACUGCUCUUGGAACUGCGUGGCUGGAGUGCAGGAGGGGCAGGCGGAAUUCGUGGUGUAGCGGUGAAAUGCGUAGAUAUCAGGAGGAACACCGGUGGCGAAGGCGGUCUGCUGGACUGCAACUGACGUUGAGGCCCGAAAGCGUGGGGAGCAAACAGGAUUAGAUACCCUUGUAGUC